Molecule: transfer RNA, 74 nt
Filed under: Erysipelothrix rhusiopathiae
Lineage: Bacteria; Bacillati; Bacillota; Erysipelotrichia; Erysipelotrichales; Erysipelotrichaceae
Also listed under: 16 other names
Description: tRNA-Gly(tcc)
Rfam family: tRNA
About the family: Transfer RNA (tRNA) molecules are approximately 80 nucleotides in length.
Source: RNAcentral
GCGGGUGUAGUUUAAUGGUAAAACUCCAGCCUUCCAAGCUGGCUACGGGAGUUCGAUUCUCCUCACCCGCUCCA